CCAGACUCCUACGGGAGGCAGCAGUGAGGGAUAUUGGGCAAUGGGGGAAACCCUGACCCAGCGACGCCGCGUGAGGGAAGACGGUCUUCGGAUUGUAAACCUCUGUCUUUGGGGACGAAAAAGGACGGUACCCAAGGAGGAAGCUCCGGCUAACUACGUGCCAGCAGCCGCGGUAAUACGUAGGAUCCGAGCAUUAUCCGGAGUGACUGGGUGUAAAGAGUUGCGUAGGUGGCAUAAUAAGUAGCUAGUGAAAUCUGGUGGCUCAACCAUUCAGACUAUUAGCUAAACUGUUAAGCUCGAGACCGUUAGGGGUAACUGGAAUUUCUAGUGUAGGAGUGAAAUCCGUAGAUAUUAGAAAGAACACCAAUAGCGUAGGCAGGUUACUGGGACGGUUCUGACACUAAGGCACGAAAGCGUAGGGAGCAAACGGGAUUAGAUACCCGGGUAU
RNAcentral lists this ribosomal RNA (448 nucleotides) under uncultured bacterium. RNAcentral describes it as "bacterial SSU rRNA". It matches the Rfam family "Bacterial small subunit ribosomal RNA", at positions 331 to 793 of the family's 1533-position model. The record is from RNAcentral.